RNAcentral lists this ribosomal RNA (450 nucleotides) under uncultured bacterium. RNAcentral's name for it is "bacterial SSU rRNA". It matches the Rfam family "Bacterial small subunit ribosomal RNA", at positions 328 to 793 of the family's 1533-position model. The record is from RNAcentral.
AAUCCAGACUCCUACGGGAGGCAGCAGUGGGGAAUAUUGCACAAUGGGGGGAACCCUGAUGCAGCGACGCCGCGUGGGCGAGGAAGUAUUUCGGUAUGUAAAGCCCUAUCGGCAGGGAAGAAGAAAUGACGGUACCUGAAUAAGAAGCACCGGCUAAAUACGUGCCAGCAGCCGCGGUAAUACGUAGGGGGCGAGCGUUAUCCGGAUUCACUGGGGGUAAAGGGAGCGUAGACGGCCAUGCAAGCCAGGGGUGAAAGCCCGGGGCCCAACCCCGGGACUGCCCUUGGAACUGCAUGGCUGGAGUGCGGGAGGGGCAGGCGGAAUUCCUGGUGUAGCGGUGAAAUGCGUAGAUAUCAGGAGGAACACCGGCGGCGAAGGCGGCCUGCUGGACUGCGACUGACGUUGAGGCUCGAAAGCGUGGGGAGCGAACAGGAUUAGAUACCCCGGUAC